Molecule: long non-coding RNA, 724 nt
Filed under: Carica papaya (papaya)
Lineage: Eukaryota; Viridiplantae; Streptophyta; Magnoliopsida; Brassicales; Caricaceae
Description: long non-coding RNA (CPAP_LNC011492)
Source: RNAcentral
CCUUCACUUCAAAACUCCAUAACUUGCUCAAUUCUUAAUCUGUUGGGCAAACUUAUGCUUCACGUUUCCUCAAGCAGGUAGCUAUCACAUGGUUUUUGUUUGAGUUUCAUUUGAGUCCAUUUGGCCCACUUAUGGCCCAAUAAAACUCAAAAGGUCAAAACUAUCUUCCAUGUAAGUGCCCCUCAGGUUUGGCCUCAUUUCUCCCAAAUUGUCUUCUAUGGACAUUUUUCUUGUUCCACACACUUCUUUAAUAUUGGCUAUUCUUCAAUCAAAUUUGAGCCUUAAAUUCCGUGUAUUUUGGUUUCGGUAUACAAAUCAAUCAAUUAGAGCUUCUUAGGGAAUUUCCUCCCUCAUAUGAGGGAUUUCUCCCUUGAUUCUUCUCCCAACUGUUUUAUUAUGUUCCCAACGUAUUUUUUUACCUUUUAUGAUAUUGUUGUAGCCUCGAGAAGCAUUACUGGGUCUAAAAAACUUAGUUUCCUCUAUUGAGAAAAAACUCUUCUUAAGAGAUUUCGGAUCUCUAAAUCUCAUCGUUUUCAUUCCAUUUGACUUGAAACUUGGUAUGUAAACUUAAAUUAUGAUUCUAAUCACAUGCAUGCAUACAAUCAUACAUAUCAUAUACUCAAGACAAGCUUAGGGGAGAGUUAGGUUAUCACAUGAUAUCUCGCAUAUGUAAUAGAGAACAAAGAAUAAGAAGUAAACCUACAACAGAUACACAUGGUAAAGG